UUCCGGUUGAUCCUGCCGGAGGUUACUGCUAUCGAGGUUCGACUAAGCCAUGCGAGUCGAAUGUAGCAAUACAUGGCGAACUGCUCAGUAACACGUGGACAACCUGCCCUUAGGACGGGGAUAAACCCGGGAAACUGGGUAUAAUACCCGAUAGGUCUCGAUUGCUGGAAUGCAUCGAGAUUUAAAGCUCCGGCGCCUAAGGAUGGGUCUGCGGCCUAUCAGGUAGUAGUGGGUGUAGCGUACCUACUAGCCUACGACGGGUACGGGUUGUGAGAGCAAGAGCCCGGAGAUGGAUUCUGAGACACGAAUCCAGGCCCUACGGGGUGCAGCAGGCGCGAAAACUUUACAAUGCUGGCAACAGCGAUAAGGGAACCUCGAGUGCCAGGUUACAAAUCUGGCUGUCGAGAUGCCUAAAAAGCAUUUCAUAGCAAGGGCCGGGCAAGACCGGUGCCAGCCGCCGCGGUAACACCGGCGGCUCGAGUGGUAACCGUUAUUAUUGGGUCUAAAGGGUCUGUAGCCGGCCGGAUAAGUCUCUUGAGAAAUCUGGCAGCUUAACUGUCAGGCUUUCAGGAGAUACUGUCUGGCUCGAGGCCGGGAGAGGUGAGAGGUACUUCAGGGGUAGGGGUGAAAUCUUGUAAUCCUUGAAGGACCACCAGUGGCGAAGGCGUCUCACCAGAACGGACCUGACGGCAAGGGACGAAAGCUAGGGGCACGAACCGGAUUAGAUACCCGGGUAGUCCUAGCCGUAAACGAUACUCGCUAGGUGUCGGCCACGGUGCGACCGUUGUCGGUGCCGUAGGGAAGCCGUGAAGCGAGCCACCUGGGAAGUACGGCCGCAAGGCUGAAACUUAAAGGAAUUGGCGGGGGAGCACCACAACGG
Molecule: ribosomal RNA, 880 nt
Filed under: Methanosaeta sp. enrichment culture clone AA10
Lineage: Archaea; Methanobacteriati; Methanobacteriota; Methanomicrobia; Methanotrichales; Methanotrichaceae
Also listed under: 3 other names
Description: bacterial SSU rRNA
Rfam family: Archaeal small subunit ribosomal RNA
Source: RNAcentral